GUCCACAUAGUUUAAUUAGAAUGGUAGUUUGUCUAACUAUUGGUGGUGUGACCUAUGGGCU
Molecule: transfer RNA, 61 nt
Filed under: Atractolytocestus huronensis
Lineage: Eukaryota; Metazoa; Platyhelminthes; Cestoda; Caryophyllidea; Lytocestidae
Description: tRNA-Asp
Source: RNAcentral